This 87-nucleotide transfer RNA is filed under the name Colwellia maritima. RNAcentral describes it as "tRNA-OTHER". It matches the Rfam family "tRNA". Rfam says of the family: Transfer RNA (tRNA) molecules are approximately 80 nucleotides in length. Their secondary structure includes four short double-helical elements and three loops (D, anti-codon, and T loops). Further hydrogen bonds mediate the characteristic L-shaped molecular structure. tRNAs have two regions of fundamental functional importance: the anti-codon, which is responsible for specific mRNA codon recognition, and the 3' end, to which the tRNAs corresponding amino acid is attached (by aminoacyl-tRNA synthetases). tRNAs cope with the degeneracy of the genetic code in two manners: having more than one tRNA (with a specific anti-codon) for a particular amino acid; and 'wobble' base-pairing, i.e. permitting non-standard base-pairing at the 3rd anti-codon position. The record is from RNAcentral. Lineage: Bacteria; Pseudomonadati; Pseudomonadota; Gammaproteobacteria; Alteromonadales; Colwelliaceae.
GCGGAUGUGGCGGAAUUGGUAGACGCGCUUGACUUGAGGGGUCGGGUGACUUAGGUCGUGGGGGUUCAAGUCCCCCCAUCCGCACCA